Molecule: ribosomal RNA, 436 nt
Filed under: uncultured bacterium
Lineage: Bacteria
Description: bacterial SSU rRNA
Rfam family: Bacterial small subunit ribosomal RNA
Source: RNAcentral
CAGCAGCCGCGGUAAUACGUAGGACACGAGCGUUAUCCGGAUUUACUGGGCGUAAAGCGCCUGUAGGUGGACGAACAAGUCGGCUGUGAAAGCCCUGGGCUUAACCCGGGGAGGCCAGGCGAUACUGUUCGACUUGAGGGUGACAGAGGGGAGUGGAAUUCCCGGUGUAGCGGUAAAAUGCGCAGAUAUCGGGAGGAACACCAGUGGCGAAGGCGGCUCCCUGGGUCAUACCUGACACUGAGAGGCUAAAGCUAGGGGAGCGAACAGGAUUAGAGACCCUGGUAGUCCUAGCCCUAAACGCUGGAUGCUAGGUGUGGGAUCGAGAGGUUCCGUGCCACAGCUAACGCGAUAAGCAUCCCGCCUGGGGACUACGGCCGCAAGGCUAAAACUCAAACGAAUUGACGGGACCCCGCACAAGCAGCGGAGCGUGUGGUUU